This 2461-nucleotide long non-coding RNA is filed under the name Daucus carota (carrot). RNAcentral describes it as "long non-coding RNA (DCAR_LNC002773)". Lineage: Eukaryota; Viridiplantae; Streptophyta; Magnoliopsida; Apiales; Apiaceae. The record is from RNAcentral.
CUCAAAACAAAAGCAUUUACAAUAUACCAAAUACCAAAAUCUAGAUACAAAAGCUAGUUUUAAGAGGUGAAGAUACAAUUAAACAAUUUCAAAUAUUUACAAUAUCUCUAUAUCCAAUUUCUUGUUUGGAUUCAUAUCACCGUAGCAAGCAACUUCUUCAUUCUAUGGCACUUCCACCAUAUCUGGCACUUCCACACCAUCUCUAUAGGAACCUAGCAUCCACUCAUUUCUUUCAUUUGCAUAUUGGAUUCCCAAAGUGAUAUUUUGUGCUUCAAAGGAAAGCAUUAUCCCACACGUGAGACAGAGAGAGUUCCUGCAGUACAAAUAAGCAGUUGAGUACUAAACCUAGGAAUACUCAGAAGGUCGAAAACAGAAUUAUAAAUAGAAGUGUAAAAGAAGCAGCCUCAUAAUAAACCAAGAAAACUGUAAUAAGCACAAUACUCAGAAGGUCGAAAACAGAAUUAUAAAUAGAAGUGUAAAAGAAGCAGCCUCAUAAUAAACCAAGAAAACUGUAAUAAGCACAAGGAGCAGGAGCUGCAUCCUUUCAACAGCCCACUUUGCAGCAAUUGUAAGACAAAGUGAGCAGAAUCCCACUUUGCAGCAAUUGUAAGACAAAGUGAGCAGAAUCCUUUGCCUCACGAAGUUCAUAUAUGUUAUGCACUUCUACAAACAACAUUGGGACCUACAUACAGAACCAACCACAUAGAUAAGCUUAUGUUCAAUUAAAUAUUUAAAUACAAGAACUCAUAAAUUAUACAGUAUAAGAUGUAUUCCUACAAAAACGGCCAAAAAUAUAUUCUUAUCCCUCCCAUCUAUCUGGUUUUGCAAUAUCUGCUAAAAUCAAAAUAAAAGAAAACUAGUGUACUAGACUUAUUCAAAUUGGAUUUUAACUACAUGAAGCUAUAUUAGAUUUCGAAAUAUACCUUCCAUCUAUAUUCUAUCAGAUAUCAAUAUAUACUACAGGCAGACCUGAUUGGACUUAGUACUGAAUUCGUGCAUUCUGGAAGAGCAAACAUGCAGUUUUUCAUGUACUUGCAGGAAGACCUAAGAUUUUUGCUUGGUGUUAAAUGAUCAUCAAAUCAGAAUUACUUGACUGAUAGAGAAAAAAUAUCAAGUGAAGAAUUCAUAUAUUUAUAAAAAUAUAAAAUAGCAGAGCAGAUAGUAAGGGUUGAGGGGUUAUACGAAAUCAUAGAAGAGGGCCUGUUUAUGUAACUUCUGAUGAUCUGAUCUCUUGUUGAAGACCAGUGGUUAAUGUUGGUACUCGAGUUAACGAAAACUGAGAUUUUUUUCCAGAAUCUGCAUUCUUAUCUCCUCCAUCUAUUUCAUAUACUAAAGAACUGACAUUAGCGGUCAAAACACAAUCCAUGGACUAUGCAACAACUGACUAUCACAAAGAUAUCAUUAGAGAAAGAUGUUUUGCCUACUUUUUGACUACAACAUACAUAUGUUUUGUACCGUUCCCAUCUAUUUCCUGUAUGGUGCAUCUCUACAGGAGUAGUGUUCUGUACGGAUCUUGUGAUGCAUGAGGCUUCUGCUGAUUGAGUUCAUUUUCAAACAAACACUCUUCAAACCAAGUACUGCUGAGAACAAUUACUACCAUACCAGCUGCUUCCUCCCUGUCCAUUACAACCACACCCAUUACCACAUCUAUUAGUCUAAUCCAAUCCAUAAUUACCAGCUGUCUCCUCUUACUUUCAUUAAUUGACAUAAACUGGUAACAAUUUGGAGAAACUCCAAAAAUUAAACAUACAGUAACAUUGCAAGUUAACAAGUAAAUAUAUUACGACUUAUUAAAUAAAAAAGAAUCUAAGCUUUUUUUAGGCAUAAACUCAUAGACUAACAUCUUAUGUAGUCUGCUAUCAUCCCCUAUUGCAUCAAUUAAUAAAUUGCAAGAAUUUAAAAUAAUAUUGUGCUUGAAUAAAAUUAGGUCAACAUAAUAAUUAAAGAGAAAAACUGAAUUCAGGAGCUUUGUUUUCUUAGACAUGUCCUAGGUCCUAAUUCAAGAAAUAGAGUUAUGCAUCUCAAUCUGAAGCUUACCUACAGCCUGUGAUAGACGAGAAGACUAAUCAAUGCCAAGAAGGAUUUGGUAUGAGAACCAGCAAGUGAACAAUCAAAACAAAAACAUAAACAACUUCACCCCAUCUCACACUUAUGCAUAGAGUCGAGAUUACCUACAAAAUCUCAUAAAGAAACGAGAUUACCAGCAAAAUGAAAGCCCAAGAGUUGAAACCCUAAUUUGUAGAGAGAGUUUAUAAAUGGAGUUUGUAACUAUCAAUCAGAGGUUUAAAAUUUGUAAAAUGGAUAUGUUUGGAAUCGAGAGAGGUGUUUGUGUUUCAAUACCCUAUACAAUUGCAGAAGAGCUUCACCAGAGGAGAGGAGAAAGAGAUUGGAAAGGGGGAUAAAAAUUAGAGAUAAGAGGUGAGGGGGGAACUCAAAAUUUGGGGUGGGAGAUGAAUGGGGG